Molecule: small nucleolar RNA, 213 nt
Organism: Zalophus californianus (California sea lion)
Lineage: Eukaryota; Metazoa; Chordata; Mammalia; Carnivora; Otariidae
Gene: U3
Rfam family: Small nucleolar RNA U3
About the family: Small nucleolar RNAs (snoRNAs) are involved in the processing and modification of rRNA in the nucleolus.
Source: Ensembl
AAGACUAUGCUUUCAGGGAUCAUUUCUGUAGUUCGUUACUGGAGGAGUUUCUCUGAACGUGUAGAGUAUCUGAAACCAUGAGGAUUAGGUACAGCAUCCUCUCCUGAGUGUGAAGCCAGCUCUGGGAGUUGCAUUUGUAACUGCCUUUGGCACUGAUGAUCGUUCUUCUCUUCCUUUGGGAGAGUGAGAGGGAGGGGAUGCCAUCUGAGUGGG